GACGAACGCUGGCGGCGUGCUUAACACAUGCAAGUCGAACGGAAAGGCCCUGCUCUUGUGGGGUGCUCGUGUGGCGAACGGGUGAGUAACACGUGAGUAACCUGCCCUUGUCUUUGGGAUAACUUCAGGAAACUGGGGCUAAUACCGGAUAGGAGCUCCUGCUGCAUGGUGGGGGUUGGAAAGAUACGGCGGUUGGGGAUCGACUCGCGGCUUAUGAGCUUGUUGGUGGGGUAGUGGCUUACCAAGGCUGUGACGGGUAGCCGGCCUGAGAGGGUGACCGGCGACAAUGGGACUGAGAGACGGCGCAGACUCGUACGGGAGGCAGCAGGGGGGAAUAUUGCACAAUGGGCGGAAGCCUGAUGCAGCAACGCCGCGUGCGGGAUGACGGCCUUCGGGUUGUAAACCGCUUUCGCCUGUGACGAAGCGUGAGUGACGGUAAUGGGUAAAGAAGCACCGGCUAACUACGUG
Molecule: ribosomal RNA, 468 nt
Filed under: uncultured bacterium
Lineage: Bacteria
Description: partial 16S ribosomal RNA
Rfam family: Bacterial small subunit ribosomal RNA
Source: RNAcentral